Molecule: ribosomal RNA, 867 nt
Filed under: Epicoccum sorghinum
Lineage: Eukaryota; Fungi; Ascomycota; Dothideomycetes; Pleosporales; Didymellaceae
Description: partial large subunit ribosomal RNA
Rfam family: Eukaryotic large subunit ribosomal RNA
Source: RNAcentral
AAGAAACCAACAGGGAUUGCCCUAGUAACGGCGAGUGAAGCGGCAACAGCUCAAAUUUGAAAUCUGGCGUCUUUGGCGUCCGAGUUGUAAUUUGCAGAGGGCGCUUUGGCAUUGGCAGCGGUCCAAGUUCCUUGGAACAGGACGUCACAGAGGGUGAGAAUCCCGUACGUGGUCGCUAGCCUUUACCGUGUAAAGCCCCUUCGACGAGUCGAGUUGUUUGGGAAUGCAGCUCUAAAUGGGAGGUAAAUUUCUUCUAAAGCUAAAUACUGGCCAGAGACCGAUAGCGCACAAGUAGAGUGAUCGAAAGAUGAAAAGCACUUUGGAAAGAGAGUUAAAAAGCACGUGAAAUUGUUGAAAGGGAAGCGCUUGCAGCCAGACUUGCCUGUAGUUGCUCAUCCGGGUUUCUACCCGGUGCACUCUUCUACGGGCAGGCCAGCAUCAGUUUGGGCGGUUGGAUAAAGGUCUCUGUCAUGUACCUCCUCUCGGGGAGAACUUAUAGGGGAGACGACAUGCAACCAGCCCGGACUGAGGUCCGCGCAUCUGCUAGGAUGCUGGCGUAAUGGCUGUAAGCGGCCCGUCUUGAAACACGGACCAAGGAGUCUAACAUCUAUGCGAGUGUUUGGGUGUCAAGCCCGAGCGCGUAAUGAAAGUGAACGGAGGUGGGAACCUUUCGGGGUGCACCAUCGACCGAUCCUGAUGUCUUCGGAUGGAUUUGAGUAAGAGCAUAGCUGUUGGGACCCGAAAGAUGGUGAACUAUGCUUGAAUAGGGUGAAGCCAGAGGAAACUCUGGUGGAGGCUCGCAGCGGUUCUGACGUGCAAAUCGAUCGUCAAAUUUGGGCAUAGGGGCGAAAGACUAAUCGAACUAUC